AUGGAGCCGACCUUGAAAUACCACCCUUUAAUGUUUGAUGUUCUAACGUUGACCCGUGAUCCGGGUUGCGGACAGUGUCUGGUGGGUAGUUUGACUGGGGCGGUCUCCUCCUAAAGAGUAACGGAGGAGCACGAAGGUUGGCUAAUCCUGGUCGGACAUCAGGAGGUUAGUGCAAUGGCAUAAGCCAGCUUGACUGCGAGCGUGACGGCGCGAGCAGGUGCGAAAGCAGGUCAUAGUGAUCCGGUGGUUCUGAAUGGAAGGGCCAUCGCUCAACGGAUAAAAGGUACUCCGGGGAUAACAGGCUGAUACCGCCCAAGAGUUCAUAUCGACGGCGGUGUUUGGCACCUCGAUGUCGGCUCAUCACAUCCUGGGGCUGAAGUAGGUCCCAAGGGUAUGGCUGUUCGCCAUUUAAAGUGGUACGCGAGCUGGGUUUAGAACGUCGUGAGACAGUUCGGUCCCUAUCUGCCGUGGGCGCUGGAGAACUGAGGGGGGCUGCUCCUAGUACGAGAGGACCGGAGUGGACGCAUCACUGGUGUUCGGGUUGUCAUGCCAAUGGCACUGCCCGGUAGCUAAAUGCGGAAGAGAUAAGUGCUGAAAGCAUCUAAGCACGAAACUUGCCCCGAGAUGAGUUCUCCCUGACUCCUUGAGAGUCCUGAAGGAACGUUGAAGACGACGACGUUGAUAGGCCGGGUGUGUAAGCGCAGCGAUGCGUUGAGCUAACCGGUACUAAUGAACCGUGAGGCUUAACCUUACAACGCCGAAGGUGUUU
RNAcentral lists this ribosomal RNA (769 nucleotides) under Escherichia coli. Its description in RNAcentral is "partial 23S ribosomal RNA". It matches the Rfam family "Bacterial large subunit ribosomal RNA", at positions 2180 to 2925 of the family's 2925-position model. The record is from RNAcentral. Lineage: Bacteria; Pseudomonadati; Pseudomonadota; Gammaproteobacteria; Enterobacterales; Enterobacteriaceae.